Molecule: ribosomal RNA, 420 nt
Filed under: uncultured prokaryote
Description: bacterial SSU rRNA
Rfam family: Bacterial small subunit ribosomal RNA
Source: RNAcentral
UCGAGAAUCUUCGGCAAUGAGCGAAAGCUUGACCGAGCGACGCCGCGUGUGGGAUGAAGGCCCUCGGGUUGUAAACCACUGUCGUAGGGGAGGAAGGCUCCGUGAAGAGCGGGGCUUGACCUAUCCUAGGAGGAAGUACGGGCUAAGUUCGUGCCAGCAGCCGCGGUAAGACGAACCGUACGAACGUUAUUCGGAAUUACUGGGCUUAAAGGGUUUGUAGGCGGCCUUGGAAGUCAGGUGUGAAAUCCCGCGGCUCAACCGAGGAAGGGCGCUUGAUACUGCAAGGCUGGAGGGAGACAGGGGUAAGCGGAACUGAUGGUGGAGCGGUGAAAUGCGUUGAUAUCAUCAGGAACACCGGUGGCGAAAGCGGCUUACUGGGUCUCUUCUGACGCUGAGGAACGAAAGCUAGGGGAGCGAACG